Molecule: ribosomal RNA, 200 nt
Filed under: uncultured bacterium
Lineage: Bacteria
Description: partial 16S ribosomal RNA
Rfam family: Bacterial small subunit ribosomal RNA
Source: RNAcentral
AACGAACGCUGGCGGCAGGCUUAACACAUGCGAGUCGAGCGCCCCGCAAGGGGAGCGGCAGACGGGUGAGUAACACGUGGGAAUCUACCCAUCCCUGCGGAACAACUCCGGGAAACUGGAGCUAAUACCGCAUACGCCCUACGGGGGAAAGAUUUAUCGGGGAUGGAUGAGCCCGCGUUGGAUUAGCUAGUUGGUGGGGU